RNAcentral lists this ribosomal RNA (305 nucleotides) under uncultured bacterium. RNAcentral's name for it is "bacterial SSU rRNA". It matches the Rfam family "Bacterial small subunit ribosomal RNA", at positions 338 to 640 of the family's 1533-position model. The record is from RNAcentral.
CCUACGGGGGGCAGCAGUGAGGAAUAUUGGUCAAUGGCCGCAGGGCUGAACCAGCCAAGUCGCGUGAGGGAUGACGGUCCUAUGGAUUGUAAACCUCUUUUGUCAGGGAGCAAAGGGCGCCACGUGUGGCGCUUUGCGAGUACCUGAAGAAAAAGCAUCGGCUAACUCCGUGCCAGCAGCCGCGGUAAUACGUAGGUGGCAAGCGUUGUCCGGAUUUACUGGGUGUAAAGGGCGUGCAGCCGGGCUGACAAGUCAGAUGUGAAAUCCCGCGGCUCAACCGCGGAACUGCAUUUGAAACUGUUAGU